RNAcentral lists this ribosomal RNA (493 nucleotides) under uncultured bacterium. Its description in RNAcentral is "bacterial SSU rRNA". It matches the Rfam family "Bacterial small subunit ribosomal RNA", at positions 29 to 518 of the family's 1533-position model. The record is from RNAcentral.
AUGAACGCUGGCGGCGUGCCUAACACAUGCAAGUCGAACGAAGCAUUUUCUUGGAGAUUCGUCGAAGAGGGAUUUGACUUAGUGGCGGACGGGUGAGUAAUGUAUGAGCAACCUGCCUUUCAGAGGGGGACAACAGUUGGAAACGACUGCUAAUACCGCAUAAUGUAUCGAGGGGGCAUCCUCUUGAUACCAAAGGAGCAAUCCGCUGAAAGAUGGGCUCAUAUCUGAUUAGUUAGUUGGUGGGGUAACGGCCUACCAAGACUGCGAUCAGUAGCCGGACUGAGAGGUUGAACGGCCACAUUGGAACUGAGAUACGGUCCAGACUCCUACGGGAGGCAGCAGUGGGGAAUAUUGGGCAAUGGACGAAAGUCUGAACCCCAGCGACGCCGCGUGAGGGAAGAAGGUCUUCGGAUUGUAAACCUUAGUCAACAGGGACGAAGCAAGUGACGGUACCUGUGGAGGAAGCCACGGCUAACUACGUGCCAGCAGCCGC